This 253-nucleotide ribosomal RNA is filed under the name uncultured bacterium. Its description in RNAcentral is "partial 16S ribosomal RNA". It matches the Rfam family "Bacterial small subunit ribosomal RNA", at positions 524 to 776 of the family's 1533-position model. The record is from RNAcentral.
UACGAAGGUUGCAAGCGUUACUCGGAAUUACUAGGCGUAAAGGGCAUGUAGGUGGUUUGGUAAGUCUAUUGUGAAAGCUCCCGGCUUAACUGGGAGAGGCCAAUGGAUACUGCCAAGCCUGAGUAUAGGAGAGGUUACUGGAAUUCCCGGUGUAGCGGUGAAAUGCGCAGAUAUCGGGAGGAACACCAAUGGCGAAAGCAGGUAACUGGACUAUUACUGACACUCAACUGCGAAAGCUAGGGGAGCAAACAGG